UGGGGAAUAUUGGACAAUGGGGGCAACCCUGAUCCAGCCAUGCCGCGUGUGUGAAGAAGGCCUUUUGGUUGUAAAGCACUUUAAGCAGUGAAGAAGACUCCAUGGUUAAUACCCAUGGACGAUGACAUUAGCUGCAGAAUAAGCACCGGCUAACUCUGUGCCAGCCGCCGCGGUAAUACAGAGGGUGCAAGCGUUAAUCGGAAUUACUGGGCGUAAAGCGAGCGUAGGUGGCUUGAUAAGUCAGAUGUGAAAGCCCCGGGCUUAACCUGGGAACGGCAUCUGAUACUGUUAGGCUAGAGUAGGUGAGAGGAAGGUAGAAUUCCAGGUGUAGCGGUGAAAUGCGUAGAGAUCUGGAGGAAUACCGAUGGCGAAGGCAGCCUUCUGGCAUCAUACUGACACUGAGGUUCGAAAGCGUGGGUAGCAAACA
Molecule: ribosomal RNA, 427 nt
Filed under: uncultured bacterium
Lineage: Bacteria
Description: partial 16S ribosomal RNA
Rfam family: Bacterial small subunit ribosomal RNA
Source: RNAcentral